RNAcentral lists this long non-coding RNA (411 nucleotides) under Cicer arietinum (chickpea). RNAcentral describes it as "long non-coding RNA (CARI_LNC002464)". Lineage: Eukaryota; Viridiplantae; Streptophyta; Magnoliopsida; Fabales; Fabaceae. The record is from RNAcentral.
CGUCAUGGGGAAGAAAUAAAUCUGGAGUACAAGAUGAUGGAGCAGUAAAGACCCAAUGGGAGUCUGGGAGUUCUCAAAAGUGGAAAACUGAUGUUAUUCAAGAAAACUCCUCAAAGUCUGGCGCUUGGGAGGCCAACACAAAUAAAAACAGUGAUCAGCCUUCUUGGGGCAAAAAUAAAUCUGGAAUACAAGAUGAUGGAGCGGUAAAGACCCAAUGGGAGUCUGGGAGUUCUCAAAAGUGGAAAACUGAUGUUAUUCAAGAAGACUCCUCAAAAUCUGGCGCUUGGGAGGCCAACACAAAUAAAAACAGUGAUCCGCCUUCUUGGGGCAAAAAUAAAUCUGGAAUACAAGAUGAUGGAGCGGUAAAGACCCAAUGGGAGUCUGGGAGUUCUCAAAAGUGGAAAACUGAUG